This 790-nucleotide long non-coding RNA is filed under the name Pan troglodytes (chimpanzee). Its description in RNAcentral is "long non-coding RNA NONPTRT009670". The record is from RNAcentral. Lineage: Eukaryota; Metazoa; Chordata; Mammalia; Primates; Hominidae.
GAGGUGAGAGGCCUGGAGAGAGGUAAGAGGCCUGGCAGGCGAGUGUGAAGGCCUGGAGAGAGGUGAGAGGCCUGGAGAGAGGUGAGAGGCCUGGCAGGCGAGUGUGAAGGCCUGGAGAGAGGUGAGAGGCCUGGAGAGAGGUGAGAGGCCUGGAGAGAGGCGAGAGGCCUGGAGGGAGGUGAGAGGCCUGGAGAGAGGCGAGAGGCCUGGCAGGCGAGUGUGAAGGCCUGGAGAGAGGUGAGAGGCCUGGAGAGAGGCGAGAGGCCUGGAGGGAGGUGAGAGGCCUGGAGAGAGGUGAGAGGCCUGGCAGGCGAGUGUGAAGGCCUGGAGAGAGGUGAGAGGCCUGGAGAGAGGUGAGAGGCCUGGAGAGAGGUGAGAGGCCUGGAGGGAGGUGAGAGGCCUGGAGAGAGGUGAGAGGCCUGGCAGGCGAGUGUGAAGGCCUGGAGAGAGGUGAGAGGCCUGGAGAGAGGUGAGAGGCCUGGAGAGAGGCGAGAGGCCUGGAGGGAGGUGAGAGGCCUGGAGAGAGGCGAGAGGCCUGGCAGGCGAGUGUGAAGGCCUGGAGAGAGGUGAGAGGCCUGGAGAGAGGCGAGAGGCCUGGAGAGAGGUGAGAGGCCUGGAGGGAGGUGAGAGGCCUGGAGAGAGGUGAGAGGCCUGGCAGGCGAGUGUGAAGGCCUGGAGGGAGGUGAGAGACCUGGCAGGCGAGUGUGAAGGCCUGGAGAGAGGCGAGAGGCCUGGAGAGAGGUGAGAGACCUGGCAGGCGAGUGUGAAGGCCUGGAGGGAGGUGAGAGGC